GGAGCUGUAGCUUAGUUGGUCACAGUGCCUGUCUAGUAAACAGGAGAUCCUGGGUUCAAAUCCCAUCAGUGCCG
This 74-nucleotide transfer RNA is filed under the name Pleuronectes platessa (European plaice). It matches the Rfam family "tRNA". From Rfam's summary of the family: Transfer RNA (tRNA) molecules are approximately 80 nucleotides in length. Their secondary structure includes four short double-helical elements and three loops (D, anti-codon, and T loops). Further hydrogen bonds mediate the characteristic L-shaped molecular structure. tRNAs have two regions of fundamental functional importance: the anti-codon, which is responsible for specific mRNA codon recognition, and the 3' end, to which the tRNAs corresponding amino acid is attached (by aminoacyl-tRNA synthetases). tRNAs cope with the degeneracy of the genetic code in two manners: having more than one tRNA (with a specific anti-codon) for a particular amino acid; and 'wobble' base-pairing, i.e. permitting non-standard base-pairing at the 3rd anti-codon position. Lineage: Eukaryota; Metazoa; Chordata; Actinopteri; Pleuronectiformes; Pleuronectidae. The record is from Rfam by way of RNAcentral.